This 116-nucleotide ribosomal RNA is filed under the name Candidatus Peribacteria bacterium. The record is from RNAcentral. Lineage: Bacteria; Candidatus Peregrinibacteriota; Candidatus Peribacteria.
CUUGGUAGUUAUAACGGUUAGGGUCCACCUGUUCCCAUUCCGAACACAGAAGUUAAGCUAACUUGUGCUGAUGGUAUUGCAUUUCGUAAAUGUGUGAGAGUAGGUAGCUGCCAAGA